RNAcentral lists this transfer RNA (84 nucleotides) under Bacteroidales bacterium. Its description in RNAcentral is "tRNA-Leu". It matches the Rfam family "tRNA". Rfam says of the family: Transfer RNA (tRNA) molecules are approximately 80 nucleotides in length. Their secondary structure includes four short double-helical elements and three loops (D, anti-codon, and T loops). Further hydrogen bonds mediate the characteristic L-shaped molecular structure. tRNAs have two regions of fundamental functional importance: the anti-codon, which is responsible for specific mRNA codon recognition, and the 3' end, to which the tRNAs corresponding amino acid is attached (by aminoacyl-tRNA synthetases). tRNAs cope with the degeneracy of the genetic code in two manners: having more than one tRNA (with a specific anti-codon) for a particular amino acid; and 'wobble' base-pairing, i.e. permitting non-standard base-pairing at the 3rd anti-codon position. The record is from RNAcentral. RNAcentral also lists the same sequence under 2 other names. Lineage: Bacteria; Pseudomonadati; Bacteroidota; Bacteroidia; Bacteroidales.
GCCCAGGUGGCGGAAUCGGUAGACGCGCUGGUCUCAAACACCAGUAGGUUCACCCCUGUGCCGGUUCGACCCCGGCCCUGGGUA